AGGGUUUCAGAGGCGGCAGCUAUAAGUAGGCUUAGGGUACCUGGUGUCCCUCUGGCUUGGCCCUGGGCCUCAUGAAGAAGCUGUAAAUCUUGACAGUAUUUUCUAUGACAGCGCUUGCUGGUUUUUAUAGGAAUGAAAUGUGAAUUUACGAAGCCACAUGCUAAUGUACUUCUAAAAGUAGACUUAAUUGUUGUGAAUUCUUCCAAUUCUGAUCAUUUUUAGCCACCUAUCUUUGAGUAACUGAAUCGACUUCGUGAAGAAAUUCUUACAAAGAGACAAAACCCCAUGGGAGGCUGCGCGGGUCAGAAAGGGGAGAAACAAAUCAUGCAGUACUAGAGGCCCCCUCUAAUGUGACAAACGCACAUGAAGGUACCGGGAAAAGUUUAAAGCUCCAGCCAAAUGUUAGCAAUUACUAUUAACCCAGUGAGACUGACCAGAAACCUGGAACCACUAGUCAGAGCCAUACGUCUGGAUCCUGCGGUCAGAAACAAAGACACUGCAUUGUACACCUAUCUGAUGAUUCAUGUCUAUCUGGCCCAGAAGAAAAACUGCCUUCAAAAUCAUCAGCUCCUGGGGAAACAUAUUUUAUCUCCCAGAACCAAUUACAGUUGAUUCUCCUGAGUUCAGAUGGUUUGGGACCAAAUCUAUUUCACACAUAACUGAAUACUAUGGACAUCUUACCCAGGAAAACUCAAAAUAUAUACAUGGGACUCUCCAUGGAGCCUCAUAACACAGCGUGGGCAACAGGCAUAGCCAUCCAAUUUUCAGGCUUCCAAAAUUAGUGGGAACUGCCAUAAGAGGGAGUGGAGUGGGGGUGCCCAGUAAGAUAAACUGCCUGCCAGGAUUCUGGAAUGAUCUCUGCCCUCCCUCUGCCAAAGAGUGUGUAAUGGAAUCUUAAGUCAUACAUUUCUACUCAAGCAAAGAAAAUGUAAUAUUUUCAUUAUCUAUGACUAAUUGAAUCUUUCUCUCAAACCUCUAUCAUAUUGGGGUACCAUGGGGGAAUUGCACAGAAAUGCUUUCAACUUGCCAUUUAAUGGUGACUCAAU
Molecule: long non-coding RNA, 1046 nt
Organism: Bubalus bubalis (water buffalo)
Lineage: Eukaryota; Metazoa; Chordata; Mammalia; Artiodactyla; Bovidae
Exons: 2
Source: RefSeq, a predicted model, not a curated record